Dipodomys spectabilis (banner-tailed kangaroo rat) is the source of this 466-nucleotide RNA transcript. It is a transcript of the gene named histone H3.3A-like, with no coding region annotated. The transcript has a single exon. Lineage: Eukaryota; Metazoa; Chordata; Mammalia; Rodentia; Heteromyidae. The record is from RefSeq and is a predicted model, not a curated record.
AUGGCUCGCACCAAGCAGACCGCCCGCAAGUCCACCAGGGGCACGGCGCCCAGGAAGCAGCUGGCGACCAAGGCCGCGCGCAAGAGCGCGCCCUCCACCGGAGGGGUGAAGAAGCCACACCGCUACAGGCCUGGUACUGUGGUGCUCCGUGAAAUGAGACGCUACCAGAAGUGCACAGAACUUCUGAUUCGCAAGCUCCCUUUCCAGCGUCUGGUGCGAGAAAUUGCUCAGGACUUCAAAACAGACCUGCGCUUCCAGAGUGCAGCUGUUGGUGCUUUGUAGGAGGCAAGUGAGGCCUAUCUCGUUGGCCUUUUUGAAGAUACCAAUCUGUGUGCUAUCCAUGCCAAAUAUGUGACAAUUAUGCCAAAAGAUAUCCAGCUAGCACGCCGCAUACGUGGAGAACGUGCUUAAGAAUCCACUAAAAUGGGAGGCAUUUCAUUCUCAAAAUCCCCCCCUCCCCCCCCCC